AUUGAACGCUGGCGGCAGGCCUAACACAUGCAAGUCGAACGGUAACAGGAAGCAGCUUGCUGCUUUGCUGACGAGUGGCGGACGGGUGAGUAAUGUCUGGGAAACUGCCCGAUGGAGGGGGAUAACUACUGGAAACGGUAGCUAAUACCGCAUAACGUCGCAAGACCAAAGAGGGGGACCUUAGGGCCUCUUGCCAUCGGCUGUGCCCAGAUGGGAUUAGCUAGUAGGUGGGGUAACGGCUCACCUAGGCGACGAUCCCUAGCUGGUCUGAGAGGAUGACCAGCCACACUGGAACUGAGACACGGUCCAGACUCCUACGGGAGGCAGCAGUGGGGAAUAUUGCGCAAUGGGCGCAAGCCUGAUGCAGCCAUGCCGCGUGUAUGAAGAAGGUCUUCGGGUUGUAAAGUACUGUCAGCGGGGAGGAAGGGAGUAAAGUUAAUACCUUUGCUCAUUGACGUUACCCGCAGAAGAAGCACCGGCUAACUCCGUG
RNAcentral lists this ribosomal RNA (490 nucleotides) under uncultured bacterium. RNAcentral describes it as "partial 16S ribosomal RNA". It matches the Rfam family "Bacterial small subunit ribosomal RNA", at positions 30 to 507 of the family's 1533-position model. The record is from RNAcentral.